Molecule: non-coding RNA, 110 nt
Organism: Acanthosepion pharaonis
Lineage: Eukaryota; Metazoa; Mollusca; Cephalopoda; Sepiida; Sepiidae
Source: the annotation of a GenBank genome assembly
AGUCACAUCACAUUGAAAUACUGAUCCCCAUAGGAUCACUGAAGUUAAGCAACAUUGAGACUGUUCAGUACCUAGAUGGGUAACCACUUGGGAAUACCUGGUGCUGUAAG